UGACUUUCUUCUGCAUGUCAC
Molecule: non-coding RNA, 21 nt
Filed under: Arabidopsis thaliana (thale cress)
Lineage: Eukaryota; Viridiplantae; Streptophyta; Magnoliopsida; Brassicales; Brassicaceae
Source: RNAcentral